This 301-nucleotide ribosomal RNA is filed under the name uncultured bacterium. Its description in RNAcentral is "partial 16S ribosomal RNA". It matches the Rfam family "Bacterial small subunit ribosomal RNA", at positions 509 to 809 of the family's 1533-position model. The record is from RNAcentral.
CAGCCGCCACGGUAAUACGUAGGUGGCAAGCGUUGUCCGGAAUUAUUGGGCGUAAAGGGCUCGCAGGCGGUUUCUUAAGUCUGAUGUGAAAGCCCCCGGCUCAACCGGGGAGGGUCAUUGGAAACUGUUAAACUUGAGUGCAGGAGAGAAAAGUGGAAUUCCUAGUGUAGCGGUGAAAUGCGUAGAGAUUAGGAGGAACACCAGUGGCGAAGGCGGCUUUUUGGCCUGUAACUGACACUGAGGCGCGAAAGCGCGGGGAGCAAACAGGAUUAGAUACCCCUGUAGUCCCUGUCUCUUAUAA